GCGGCCUUUUUGUCAGUGGUGAAAUCCUGCCGCUUAACCGGGGAAUUGCUUUUGAUACUGAAAGGCUUGAGUUCCGUUGAGGUUGGUGGAAUGUGUAGUGUAGCGGUGAAAUGCUUAGAUAUUACACAAGAACACCAAUUGCGAAGGCAGCUUACUAAACUGACACUGACGCUGAUGCACGAAAGCGUGGGGAGCGAACAGGAUUAGAUACCCUGGUAGUCCACGCCGUAAACGAUGUUCACUCGCUGUUUGCGAUACACAGCAAGCGGCCAAGCGAAAGCAUUAAGUGAACCACCUGGGGAGUACGAUCGCAAGGUUGAAACUCAAAGGAAUUGACGGGGGCCCGCACAAGCGGAGGAACAUGUGGUUUAAUUCGAUGAUACGCGAGGAACCUUACCUGGGCUUAAAUGUUGAGUGACAUGCUGUGAAAGCAGUCCUUCUUCGGACACUCUACAAGGUGCUGCAUGGUUGUCGUCAGCUCGUGCCGUGAGGUGUCGGGUUAAGUCCCAUAACGUCCCGCAACC
RNAcentral lists this ribosomal RNA (524 nucleotides) under uncultured bacterium. RNAcentral describes it as "bacterial SSU rRNA". It matches the Rfam family "Bacterial small subunit ribosomal RNA", at positions 575 to 1103 of the family's 1533-position model. The record is from RNAcentral.